ACGUACACUCUGCGGGAGGCAGCAGUGGGGAAUAUUGGACAAUGGGGGCAACCCUGAUCCAGCCAUGCCGCGUGAGUGAUGAAGGCCCUAGGGUUGUAAAGCUCUUUUGUGCGGGAAGAUAAUGACGGUACCGCAAGAAUAAGCCCCGGCUAACUUCGUGCCAGCAGCCGCGGUAAUACGAAGGGGGCUAGCGUUGCUCGGAAUCACUGGGCGUAAAGGGUGCGUAGGCGGGUCUUUAAGUCAGGGGUGAAAUCCUGGAGCUCAACUCCAGAACUGCCUUUGAUACUGAGGAUCUUGAGUCCGGAAGAGGUGAGUGGAACUGCGAGUGUAGAGGUGAAAUUCGUAGAUAUUCGCAAGAACACCAGUGGCGAAGGCGGCUCACUGGUCCGGUACUGACGCUGAGGCACGAAAGCGUGGGGAGCAAACAGGAUUAGAAACCCGUGUAGUCCCAUG
Molecule: ribosomal RNA, 453 nt
Filed under: uncultured organism
Description: partial 16S ribosomal RNA
Rfam family: Bacterial small subunit ribosomal RNA
Source: RNAcentral